AUUGAACGCUGGCGGCAUGCUUUACACAUGCAAGUCGAACGGCAGCGCGGGCUUCGGCCUGGCGGCGAGUGGCGAACGGGUGAGUAAUGCAUCGGAACGUGCCCAGUAGUGGGGGAUAGCCCGGCGAAAGCCGGAUUAAUACCGCAUACGACCUGAGGGUGAAAGCGGGGGACCGAAAGGCCUCGCGCUAUUGGAGCGGCCGAUGUCGGAUUAGCUAGUUGGUGGGGUAAAGGCUUACCAAGGCGACGAUCCGUAGCUGGUCUGAGAGGACGACCAGCCACACUGGGACUGAGACACGGCCCAGACUCCUACGGGAGGCAGCAGUGGGGAAUUUUGGACAAUGGGGGCAACCCUGAUCCAGCCAUGCCGCGUGCGGGAAGAAGGCCUUCGGGUUGUAAACCGCUUUUGUUCGGGAAGAAAUCCUAUGGGCUAAUACCCCGGGGGGAUGACGGUACCGGAAGAAUAAGCACCGGCUAACUACGUG
Molecule: ribosomal RNA, 484 nt
Filed under: uncultured bacterium
Lineage: Bacteria
Description: partial 16S ribosomal RNA
Rfam family: Bacterial small subunit ribosomal RNA
Source: RNAcentral